Transfer RNA from Lutibacter agarilyticus, 84 nucleotides. It matches the Rfam family "tRNA". From Rfam's summary of the family: Transfer RNA (tRNA) molecules are approximately 80 nucleotides in length. Their secondary structure includes four short double-helical elements and three loops (D, anti-codon, and T loops). Further hydrogen bonds mediate the characteristic L-shaped molecular structure. tRNAs have two regions of fundamental functional importance: the anti-codon, which is responsible for specific mRNA codon recognition, and the 3' end, to which the tRNAs corresponding amino acid is attached (by aminoacyl-tRNA synthetases). tRNAs cope with the degeneracy of the genetic code in two manners: having more than one tRNA (with a specific anti-codon) for a particular amino acid; and 'wobble' base-pairing, i.e. permitting non-standard base-pairing at the 3rd anti-codon position. Lineage: Bacteria; Pseudomonadati; Bacteroidota; Flavobacteriia; Flavobacteriales; Flavobacteriaceae. The record is from Rfam.
GCACAUAUGGCGGAAUUGGUAGACGCGCGGGCUUGAGGGGCUCGUAUCCGAAAGGAUGUGCAGGUUCAACUCCUGUUAUGUGCA